This 844-nucleotide ribosomal RNA is filed under the name uncultured eukaryote. RNAcentral's name for it is "bacterial SSU rRNA". It matches the Rfam family "Bacterial small subunit ribosomal RNA", at positions 42 to 926 of the family's 1533-position model. The record is from RNAcentral.
GUUGCUUUAUACAUGCAAGUCGUACGAGAGUUUUUAACUCAAGUGGCGGACGGGUGAGUAACACGUAAGAAUUUGCCUUUAGGAGGGGGAUAACAACUGGAAACGGUUGCUAAUACCCCAUAUGCUUUUGAGUGAAAUGGAUUUUUCCGCCUAAAGAGAAGCUUGCGGCUGAUUAGCUUGUUGGUAAGGUAAUGGCUUACCAAGGCGACGAUCAGUAUCUGGUUUGAGAGGACGAUCAGACACACUGGAACUGAGACACGGUCCAGACUCCUACGGGAGGCAGCAGUAGGGAAUUUUCCGCAAUGGGCGAAAGCCUGACGGAGCAAUACCGCGUGAGGGAUGAAGGCCUAUGGGUUGUAAACCUCUUUUUUCAGGGAGGAACAAAAUGACGUGUACCUGAAGAAUAAGCAUCGGCUAACUCCGUGCCAGCAGCCGCGGUAAGACGGAGGAUGCAAGUGUUAUCCGGAAUCACUGGGCGUAAAGCGUCUGUAGGUGGUCAAAUAAGUCAACUGUUAAAUCUUGAGGCUCAACCUCAAAAUCGCAGUCGAAACUAUUCGACUAGAGUAUAGUAGGGGUAAAGGGAAUCUCCAGUGGAGCGGUGAAAUGCGUAGAGAUUGGAAAGAACACCGAUGGCGAAGGCACUUUACUGGGCUAUUACUAACACUCAGAGACGAAAGCUAGGGUAGCAAAUGGGAUUAGAUACCCCAGUAGUCCUAGCUGUAAACAAUGGAUACUAGAUGUUGAACAGAUCGACCUGUGCAGUAUUAAAGCUAACGCGUUAAGUAUCCCGCCUGGGAAGUAUGCUCGCAAGAGUGAAACUCAAAGAAUUGACGGGGGCCCCCCA